GACCAAUGAGGUGCUCGCCUAAUUCCGGG
Molecule: non-coding RNA, 29 nt
Filed under: Homo sapiens (human)
Lineage: Eukaryota; Metazoa; Chordata; Mammalia; Primates; Hominidae
Source: RNAcentral